Non-coding RNA from Anas platyrhynchos (mallard), 2777 nucleotides. Lineage: Eukaryota; Metazoa; Chordata; Aves; Anseriformes; Anatidae. The record is from RefSeq and is a predicted model, not a curated record.
AUAUCUUGUAAGUUUCCUUGUAGGACUUCAUUUUCUUAGUCAAGUGAAUUUUAAAGGCAGUAGAUAACAGUCUUAAAUUAUUUAUGCCUUAAUAUGUGCCUGAGGGUCACCUAGGUGAACCUACACUCUUCUGCAGGACUAUCGAUAAAGUUUUCCAGCGUGUGAAGAUAACUGAGGACCGUCUCUCUCAGGAGUGGCAUCAUCACUUGUGCUCGCUAGAGGUUGUAAGCAGCGGUGAGAGUACAUAUGUGCAACAUCUUGUGUGUUACCGCUUCUCGGUGCGGCUGCAACGUUUAAUCAAUACAAACAUGCCUUGUGCUCCUUUGAUUCAUAAAACGCUGGAUGUCUCGCUAAUCUGAGCCAGAGAGGAACAUAUAUUUGCAGCUGACCUUUAACUGGAAGGCGUGGAAGAUGGCUGUACUUGCUUUGCAGUUGAGGAGCACAAAACCAGUAAUGCAAAUGUUCAGUUUCUGGCAUGCAAAUCGGCAGGCCAGGUGGUAGCACACCUGCCUGUUCAGCGCCCAACACAUCACGCGUGCAGAGGAAGCAAACAGAGGGUGACACUUGUGUAGUGCUCCACAGCCAAGGAUUCCUUCAGAGAGAAAACCUCCUUUCCUACAGGUGUUGGUGUGGAUGCGUACGAGAAGAGGAUGACAGGCGUGCGCGGCUGGUUGUACGCAAUUAGCACCUGCUAGAUGGGCAAAAGGCAAUUAUCGCCGGGAAGUGCUUACAUUGAUUUAUGGGAGGAAGGCGGCCCAGGAGAGGGAUGCUGAUAAUCUCAACGCAGUGGAUUAAAUGCACAUUUACACCUUUAUUGACGUAUAAAUUACCCGUGCCAGCAAUGCACUGAAGAGGCUGCUGAUGGAGCAAUAAUGUGGCACGAAGUACUGGGUCCGGAUUCAGCUCCGUCAUCCUUCUGUAAGGCACGGAAAGGGAACCCCACGCCUGAGCUGAAAUAGAAGAUAGAGGCUCACAGAGGGGCUGCCCGGUCAGAUAAUGAGCACUGAUGGCAGACAGGAACUGAGAAGGAUGACAAAAAGCAUGGACGAGGUCUGAAGGAGUCCGCUUGCUAUUUUUUUUUUAGUUACUUUUAGAUUUUUGUUGUUGUUCGUGCUAUGGAUUUUUAGGGAAAGCUGAGAGAGGCCGGAGGAGUAUGUGUAGUUGGGAAAUGGAACCUGGCUCUGAAUCCAGCCAACAUCAGAAAAGGAAGCCCGUGACACAUGGACUGGAAGAUCAAAAAAGGACGUGACCAACUUGAAACAACUCAAAAUGCACAGUGGAACAUACUUAAUGUCAGCUGACAGAUCCCAUUUUGCACAAGUGCUUUGUGGAAGCCUGGUGUGUCAAGGUGGCAUUGUAUUAUUUAAUGGUAAUUGAUUGGCUAUGUGCAUUAAGUUGACCUAAAUGAAGUUGCUAUCUCUGAAAAACUGUAGCUUGUGAACAACUGGGGCUUCAAAGUUGUUUUCCUGGUACCAGUCAAACAGACGGUAACACUUGACAUGCUUUUGCUGUAUGUAUCAUUUGUAUUGUUUUCCAUGCAGAUUUGUUUGUUGGUUUAAAACAGCAAAAACAGCACCAACAAAAACCAAUGCUGUUACUUGGCUUUGUGUGAAGAGCUCCCUUUCCCUGUGGCUUUUAUCCAUGAUUUGUAUUUCAUGUGAAAUAAAUUGGGGUGGGGGGUAAGACGGACCAUCAAAUAUUAUUUUGCUGUUCAACGGUGCUGUCUAAUUUUGGAGAGGAGGAGGCAUGUGUCACAAAUUCUUCGAGUCUACUGAAGAGUCAGAGUGGAUUUUGUCACUCCAUUAGAAAUCAAAGCAGCUUGGAAAACUUUCAGAAAUGAGAUAAAACAUAGCUGUUUCCUCAGAAGAAUGACAUUUCAGGAGUACUUAUUUGGGCAACCAACUAGAAUUCCAAAAUAUAUUUUAAUUGCACCAAGCGUGAUCUGUUAACUGAUAAGCUGACACGGUCUUCCUUCUGCUUUUUCAAGGAAGCCUUUUGGAGCUGAAGAAAAUCAAUAAGGGCAGCAAUAAAAUCCUUCAAUCGACUUUAUUUCUGGAGGCCACUCAUAUUUUAUGUUUUCCUCAGGCAUGCAGUAGUGUACUGUGUAUCGAGUAGAUGGGAAAAACAUUUGGGACCUGAGACACCAAAGUAGACUCUGACUGUUUGGAUGCCCCAAAAUUAAUAUGCCUCUCCUUGCUGAUAGGUAUAGAAGCCUACAUCUCCCAUCUGCUCCUGGCUCUGGGUAUUUGGUACACAUGUAGUAUAUGGUCUCUGAAAGUAUAAUAUAACCCCAAGUGAGGCUCAGUGGCAGCUGGGAUAACAUCAAUUGGUCAUGCUUUGCUGACAUUCAUUUUAACUUGAACUCUAGCCGUCAUGGAGAUUAUUAAAUUUAUAAUGAUAUAUGUAAGAUCCAUUUUAAUGACUCUUCAUGCUUGGGUGAUCUCUCUCACUUCUGUUUGCAAAACAAGUCUUAAUAGAGUAUUACAUUUCAUUUCCUAUUGAAUUUUCCAGGGAAAGGUUACUGAAGAGAGCUUCAGACUUGUGUUUACUGGGAAAAAUAAUUUUGGAAUAAAAGUGUUGACACGACUCAGUUGUUAUGGUGGAGUUGAAUAAUAAUGUAAACUGUGAUGUUCUUAAGCUUAAAAUUGUUUGAUUUCUUAUUGGAAAAAAAUGUGUUUGUGAUCCAAGGCUGUUAGAAGUGUCUACUGAUGAUUAAUUCUGUUACUGAAAAAUGAGACUAGUACUGGAAGAAAUAAGACCAAGCUCAUUUGAAAUCA